Molecule: ribosomal RNA, 271 nt
Filed under: uncultured bacterium
Lineage: Bacteria
Description: partial 16S ribosomal RNA
Rfam family: Bacterial small subunit ribosomal RNA
Source: RNAcentral
UCGAGGGGCAUCGGGAGGGAAGCUUGCUUUCCUUGCCGGCGACCGGCGCACGGGUGAGUAACACGUAUGCAACCUGCCCUCUUCAGGGGGACAACCUUCCGAAAGGGAGGCUAAUCCCGCGUAUAUCGGUUUCGGCGGAGGAUGGGCAUGCGGCGCAUUAGCUUGUUGGCGGGGUAACGGCCCACCAAGGCGACGAUGCGUAGGGGUUCUGAGAGGAAGGUCCCCCACACUGGUACUGAGACACGGACCAGACUCCUACGGGAGGCAGCAG